RNAcentral lists this ribosomal RNA (253 nucleotides) under uncultured bacterium. RNAcentral describes it as "partial 16S ribosomal RNA". It matches the Rfam family "Bacterial small subunit ribosomal RNA", at positions 524 to 776 of the family's 1533-position model. The record is from RNAcentral.
UACGAAGGGGGCUAGCGUUGCUCGGAAUCACUGGGCGUAAAGGGUGCGUAGGCGGGCCUUUAAGUCAGGGGUGAAAUCCUGGAGCUCAACUCCAGAACUGCCUUUGAUACUGAGGAUCUUGAGUAUGGGAGAGGUGAGUGGAACUGCGAGUGUAGAGGUGAAAUUCGUAGAUAUUCGCAAGAACACCAGUGGCGAAGGCGGCUCACUGGCCCAUUACUGACGCUGAGGCACGAAAGCGUGGGGAGCAAACAGG